RNAcentral lists this ribosomal RNA (447 nucleotides) under Proteus mirabilis. RNAcentral describes it as "bacterial LSU rRNA". It matches the Rfam family "Bacterial large subunit ribosomal RNA", at positions 2502 to 2925 of the family's 2925-position model. Lineage: Bacteria; Pseudomonadati; Pseudomonadota; Gammaproteobacteria; Enterobacterales; Morganellaceae. The record is from RNAcentral.
AUAUCGACGGCGGUGUUUGGCACCUCGAUGUCGGCUCAUCACAUCCUGGGGCUGAAGUAGGUCCCAAGGGUAUGGCUGUUCGCCAUUUAAAGUGGUACGCGAGCUGGGUUUAGAACGUCGUGAGACAGUUCGGUCCCUAUCUGCCGUGGGCGUUGGAAGAUUGAGAGGGGUUGCUCCUAGUACGAGAGGACCGGAGUGAACGCACCACUGGUGUUCGGGUUGUCAUGCCAAUGGCAUUGCCCGGUAGCUAAGUGCGGAAGAGAUAACCGCUGAAAGCAUCUAAGCGGGAAACUUGCCUCGAGAUGAGUCUUCCCUGUCGCUUAAAGUGACCUAAAGGAACGUUUAAGACUAAGACGUUGAUAGGCUGGGUGUGUAAGCGUAGCGAUACGUUGAGCUAACCAGUACUAAUGAACCGUGAGGCUUAACCUGACAACACCGAAGGUGUUU